AUGCAACAUCACUCAAAUGAUACUAUUGAAGCUCUUAAUCAGAAAAAGAACAAUUCUUGCGGUACAGUUAAACAGUGUCGUUCUGUCAAGGAAGCCAGGGAUAUGGGUACGGGAAACUCUAUAGUUUUUCCAUCUAAAAAUAAAGAAGAAAGCAAGCAUAUUGUCAAAAAUGUACCUACUGGUGAUGAUCCUCCACUAUCUCAAUAG
Molecule: non-coding RNA, 207 nt
Organism: Vicia faba (fava bean)
Lineage: Eukaryota; Viridiplantae; Streptophyta; Magnoliopsida; Fabales; Fabaceae
Source: the annotation of a GenBank genome assembly